This 365-nucleotide ribosomal RNA is filed under the name uncultured bacterium. RNAcentral describes it as "SSU rRNA". It matches the Rfam family "Bacterial small subunit ribosomal RNA", at positions 127 to 465 of the family's 1533-position model. The record is from RNAcentral.
UGCCCUGGAGUCCGGGAUAACNCCNCGAAAGCGGUGCUAAUACCGGAUACGUCUCCGAUACCGCAUGGUAUUGGAGGGAAAGGUGGCGCUCCGAACCGCAAGGAACGGAGCUAUCACUCCAGGAGGGACCUGCGGCCCAUCAGCUAGUUGGUAGGGUAACGGCCUACCAAGGCGAUUGACGGGUAACUGGCCUGAGAGGGUGGUCAGUCACACUGGGACUGAGACACUGCCCAGACUCCUACGGGAGGCUGCAGUCGAGAAUCUUUCGCAAUGGGGGAAACCCUGACGAUGCGACGCCGCGUGCAGGAUGAAGGCCUUCGGGUCGUAAACUGCUGUCGAGAGGGACGAAGUCCCGACCUGCUAAC